GAAAGGGAAGUUAGUGUUUGGAUCUCUGCACAAACCCAAACAAAGGUAGACGAACGAAAGAUGACGGAGAAUUCACCCCCAAAAACCAAAAAAAAAAAAGGGGAAGGAAUUAAAGAAAGCGAAGGCGGAGGGGAAUUGAAUUCGUGUUGAUGGCGCAUGCUGAGGGCAUUGAAAUCUUUCCGCGGGUUGGUUUCUCUGUCAGAUGAUUCCUCCCUUUUCGUCCGUCGCCCACCGACAACAAAACAGAGGAUCGAGGCCUCCGGCGAAGGACCGCUGGCACCUUUCCCCUUCUUCUAUGUUCCUCCGAGUCGACGAAGAAGGCUCUGCUUUUGCUUCUGUCGAGGCUGGAUCCGCCGACCGGCGGGAAGCUUAGGGAAUUAGGUCGGCUGAGAUCCGAGGAAGGCCGUUGGGUUGAAGGAGGCCUCCUCGGAUUCAUGGCGCCGGCUCGAUGCCAUUGGGUUCUGAGAACGUUGAUGCUUCCCGAACCAUUACCCUGGAAUUGCAAGGAUUAGGUGCUCAAGGACUCCUUGAAGCACGAGAGUCAGGGAUGCCCUUCGCGACAGCCGCGGCUCCUCGUCUGCCCCGCGGUGGUGGGAACCUUACUUCGGUCCCCGUGACUUCCACCGCGCCUCCUCUCGCCGUUCCCUCGCAGAUGAAGCUGCUCCACGGACGAAGGACGGCGCCAAUGGCUGAUCUAUCUAUGGACACUUUCAUUGGUGGUGGCACAUAAAAGAAUACUGGUAUUUCUGGAUGUCUGUCACCGGCAACUCCGUGCUCUGCAACUUCAACUCGUCCGUCAUUAGGUGAGUUGAGAUCUUAAGUGUUUGUUUCUAUUUUGAUGUUUAUAUUAAGAGAAAUCUUCAUUACAUUUAACGAACUUUAUGGUUCUGCUGAGCUUUCUACUGGGGGAUCGAUCAAUUGCUCGACCAAUCCCACAAACUCUUCAGAUUGCAGAUCAAGUCUGAUGUUUUAUGUCAACAACAUGAAGCUGCAACCAUCGACAGCUCCGUUCCUUCACAGACAACUGAACCUUGCAAACUUGCGAUACAGCCUACGCCUAUUACACACUAUUUGACAGCCAUGGGCUGGCUGGCUGGCUGACUGCAUGGAGAAGACAACAAAGUCGCUAGUAGAGCUGUUCUCUUCUGUCCCGCAACCAUCUCCACCUGCAACGAGACACAAGUUCUGCUUUAGUAUCUCUGCCGUGCUUGGAGCAGAGAGGAGAGUAGCAAAGUGGGUCCGAGUACCAGAAGUAGUCCCAGCGAGGGCGUAUCUUCGACAUCCGGUUCUCUUCGUAGGGAUACUCGGAUUCAGCGCGGCGGGCGUUGCGGAAGGCGCAGCAGCCGAUGGUGUAGAUGGCGAUGAGGAAGAUGAGGACGACGACGUUGAGGACGGACAGCUUGUGCCAGUCCCUCCGCACCUGCUCCAGCACGCCAGCCUUGCACGAGUCGCAGGCGUAGCACAGCACGUUGGCUGCGUUGUUCCACCGGUAGCAGUCCUCGUCUUGCGCCAUCACCACCCCCCCGGCGCCGUAGGUGCACGAUGUCGGCGGCUUGCAGCAGCCCGACUGCAUCGCAUGUUGACGGUGAGCGUCAGAUCAGAUACGAUCGAUCGUUCCGAUGAGUUUUGACUCGUGGUCGUAGUGACAGAAGCUACUCAUCUGAGAAGGAGACGAGGAUAGAGAGUUGCCGAGCGUUACCUGUAUCGGGGAGAGGUCUCGCUGGAGAUAGUCCAGAGGCGUCCAGAGAGCGAUCUUGGCGCAGGUCUUCGACCCGACGACGCAUGCCAUCGCCGCCUUCCAGUACUGCCGCUCCGUGAUCCUUCGGCGGAGCCAUCCGGUGUAGUCGUCGAGGCGGUACUCGUGGUAGGGGCGACCAGGGACCUGGACCCCGCCGCCGCCGGCUGUGACAGCGAAGCCGAAGGCGGUGAGGCCGAGGAGGGUCCCGAUGAGGAGCAGCAUGACGAGGAGGUAGAGCCACAGCGCCCAGGCCACGUUGAAGCACGCGCCCACGAAGCCGGCCAGGGAGACGAGGAGCACCACGAAGCCCAGCACCAGGAGCGGCGUCUGCAGCGACGACUCGCACGUCGCCGAGCUCUUCGACAUCCACAGCCCGCCGCCGAUGAUCGGGACCGACGCCAGGAGCGUCAACAGGUUCAGGCACCCGAUCACCGAGUUGCUGAAGCGUGCUCGACAGAAUAACUUGGUGUUGCUUUACGAGAGGAUAAGAGCAGAAGAGACCACAACCCUGAUGAUCCACUCCGGAGAACUUGUUCUGAUGGUACUGUAGCAAAGGGGAGUGUAUCUGCAACCCCAUGGAACAAAGGAGAGCAUCUUGUACCAAGUUGAGAGGGGGGCCGAGAAGCUAGAGAACCAUCAAGAUGACUUCUAUUAGGGUCGACGCGACUGGUUCAGGGCUCCGGAUGACGGGGAUCAGACGCGGCUCCUCUUUGGACGUUGUGGUAACUGAGGCAGGAGAUCCGGCUCAGAAAGUUCCGUGGUACCGGAUGUAUUCAGUAGCGACCGAGUACCUGCACACAGGUCGGGUCGGUAGCUCGGCCCGACCCCUCCGACGGUCUAGUCAGUGGUAGCGAAGAGGUGUUUUUUGCGAGGUUCUUCUUUCCCCCCCUUUUGCCCGUUGGGGGCCAGGGGGUAUUUAUAAGUGGGUUUGAUGUUACCUGAUGCGCCACCCUGCCGGAGCAGGGUCGUACCUCUGAUGGAGCCUGUGGGCGUCGUGGGCGUUGCGUGGAAGGUCGAGCUGCCGCAGGGUAUGGGGGGUGUCAGUCAGCGCCUUCUCCCUCCUCGGUCGAUCAUGCGGGGCCAGCCGAGGAGGUCGUUCGAGUACGAUGGUGUGGGUGCGCGUCGUGUCGCCGUUAAUGCUCGCUUUGGGGCAGUGUGCCGCGCAGGGUGUCCGACGUGGGGGGGUGUAUUACGUCAAAUCCGGGGUGUCAUGUCAAAUCAAUUUUUUACCCCUAUCAAAAUCCAUUCUGUGCAGGUGGCUCGCCACCAGA
Musa acuminata AAA Group (dessert banana) is the source of this 3009-nucleotide long non-coding RNA. RefSeq lists it as uncharacterized. NCBI's taxonomy places the organism in Eukaryota, Viridiplantae, Streptophyta, Magnoliopsida, Zingiberales, Musaceae. The record is from RefSeq and is a predicted model, not a curated record. The transcript is spliced from 6 exons.